This 441-nucleotide ribosomal RNA is filed under the name uncultured bacterium. RNAcentral's name for it is "partial 16S ribosomal RNA". It matches the Rfam family "Bacterial small subunit ribosomal RNA", at positions 338 to 795 of the family's 1533-position model. The record is from RNAcentral.
CCUACGGGUGGCAGCAGUGGGGAAUAUUGCACAAUGGGGGAAACCCUGAUGCAGCGACGCCGCGUGAGUGAAGAAGUCUUUCUGGAUGUAAAGCUCUCUCAGCAGGGGAGAAAAAAGACGGUACCUGACUCCGCCGCCCCGGCUCACUACGUGCCAGCAGCCGCGGUACUACGUAGGGGGCAAGCGUUAUCCGGAAUUACUUGGUGUAAAGGGAGCGUAGACGGCGCGGCAAGUCUGAAGUGAAAGUCAGGGGCGUAACCCCUGAACUGCGUUGGAAACUGCCAUGCUAGAGUGCGGGAGAGGUAAGUGGAAUUCCUAGUGUAGCGGUGAAAUGCGUAGAUAUUAGGAGGAACACCAGUGGCGAAGGCGGCUUACUGGACAGUAACUGACGUUGAGGCUCGAAAGCGUGGGGAGCAAACAGGAUUAGAUACCCCUGUAGUC